Long non-coding RNA from Atta colombica, 663 nucleotides. RefSeq lists it as uncharacterized. The transcript is spliced from 3 exons. NCBI's taxonomy places the organism in Eukaryota, Metazoa, Arthropoda, Insecta, Hymenoptera, Formicidae. The record is from RefSeq and is a predicted model, not a curated record.
AAGUAAGGACGUGUUUUGAUUUAUGUAUUUAAACGUGUCGUUCAAGUUUUACGAUGGAGCAACGAGCGUGUAUUAAGUUUUGUUUCAAACUUGGCAAAACUGCAACAGAAACUCACGAAAUGAUGAAAACAGCGUUCGGAGAGGAUGCACGCAUAGUAACAUUCGACUGGUUUAAACGUUUUAAGAAAAGCCGGCAAUCACUGGAUGACGAUGCAAGAAGUAAUCAACCAACGGCUCAAUAUGAGAAAACUAUGGAAGCUGUGCGUUCUUUACCGAGGACCCUCAUCUGACACUUCGUGCGAUAUCUGAACAGUUAAAAAUAAAGACACUGUUUCUAUUCCAUCAUUCAUGGGGAGAUUUGAACCGUAGAAAAAUUUGUGCGCGCUUUGUUCCACAUUUUUUAACUCCAGAACAGAAAGAAAUGCGUGUGAAUUGUUGUCGUGACUUUGUUGAAAUGGCAGACAAGGAUCCAGAUUUUAUAAAAACUCGGUGAUACUGUUGGUCAAAUGGAACUGUUUUGCUGUCAGUUUUGUCAGUUAAUUAUCUGUAACUUGUGGAAAGGAUUCUUUUUUUUCAUACAUGCAAGACGCAUAACGCAUUGAAAAUAUGCUCAAUACUGCAGCAAAUUAAGAUAAUAAUGAGAGUCACCUUGUUGAAGAGCCA